CCAAUAGAAUUUUUGAAAGCCAUCACAUGCAAUUUUUCAACUGAACGAGAACUUGGCAGGGGAGUUCUGCAUUGAGCUGUCGUAGAGAGCGCAGACAGGCACUCUAGCCAACGUUGUUGGCUAGGAUUGGGACACAAAAGCGAGACGAGGGAUGAGAAGCACAGGAGGAGUCAGUCUGUCCUCAUCAUCGAUAUAUGCAAGCCAUCCAGUGCUUUGGAGUUGAUAUGGUCGGCUGAGAAGUUGAGGAAGAAGUCAUUUCUACCUAUAAGCUAGGUGCUGUUGUUGUUUGAAUAGAGACCAUCUCUACUCCUUUAAUGCCUAAACCUACAGCUGUGUGACAUGAAGAACUUGUGAACCAAAAUCACGGCACAACUGAAGACAUAACUAACUGGA
Zea mays is the source of this 393-nucleotide long non-coding RNA. RefSeq lists it as uncharacterized. The transcript is spliced from 3 exons. The record is from RefSeq and is a predicted model, not a curated record. NCBI's taxonomy places the organism in Eukaryota, Viridiplantae, Streptophyta, Magnoliopsida, Poales, Poaceae.